Molecule: long non-coding RNA, 1859 nt
Filed under: Hordeum vulgare
Lineage: Eukaryota; Viridiplantae; Streptophyta; Magnoliopsida; Poales; Poaceae
Description: long non-coding RNA (HVUL_LNC000442)
Source: RNAcentral
GCCGAAUCAACAACAAAGUUGAUUAAAAUACCCAUUUGUUUAAUCAAAUCAGGAACAAGACAAAUGGAGUGUAGCGUGCAGUGAUCCAUCAGGAUGAUUGAUUCUUGUAGAUGGAUUGAUCCCGUUCUUGAAACUUCUUCAUCUUCGGUCCAUCACACGUUGAUGGAGAGGAAGGUGCCUUCCGUUGGGAUCGUCGCAGUCUGUGGGAAUGGCGAGGCUACGCCCGUGCGUCUGCCAGCGAGGGGGCCUCGUCAUGUAGCGGCCGAUGGUCGUCUCCUUCGUCGUUCUGUGUCGCCUAAUCGCUUUGGUAGACAAAAGUGCUGAUAACGUGUUAGAGUAAAACGAGAUUGAAUGAAAGUGAAUGGACAAUUAGUCCUCUUUCUAUUGAUUCUCAAGUAUAUAUACAUCUGGAAAAGGUGUGAAGAAAAGGUGUCUGUUCGGAGACAUCCCUCCAGAACAGGUGCCUGUUGUCAAUAGACACAAAGAAGAGACACGACUGUUCGGUUUGAACAUAUCCCUUAAAUUAAUCUAUUAAUUAAUUUCUAACGGUAGCUAGCAAAAGCUAGACCGUACGUACACGCGGAGACAAACUAAUCAGGAGCGAGGAAGCAAGAAAGAAGAUGGCUCGGGCCGACAUGACAGCCAGCCUGCUCAAUCGCCGGCCGGCCGGCAGGGUCGCUGGACCGGUUGGUGGCGCAAACCGGUCGGUCUAACCGGCCGACCCGAUCAAAAGGCGGCAAUCAGCCAGCCUAGCUGCACUGCUUCUUAAUCUGGUGGAGCCACCGGAGAUUAAUGCCGUUGUUAAGAUUGCUUGGAAUCGGAGAACUGGGCAAACACGCACGUGUUCACAUGUGGCUGCACGUGUUUCGGGCUGUUUCGUGAGGCGAAGGAAGCGACUAGACUGUGGUGUUUUGACUUUCGAGUAUAGAACGAGAGGCAAAACGUGGAGAUAUAAUCGAUUACAAGUAUAUUCCUUUCUCUGUUUUUAAAUAUAAGUCUUUAUAAAGAUUUUAUUAGAAGACUACAUAUAAAGCAAAAUGAUUAAAUUUUUAUUUAAAAUAUGUUUAUAUACAAUCUUUAUGUUGUUUCUUAGUGAACCCAUUAAAAAGACUUUUAUUCAUAAUUUUGAGGGAUGCAUUCAACAAAUGUCAUAGUCCGAAGAAACACAAGUGAACAGCCGUGUUUUUAGUGCACCAUGGUUAUAAAAAUGGUUUCAGAGGAGUAGAGGAGUAGGUAGGAUGGAAACACUCGAAUGUCCCAUAAAAAUGAUGCAUUUUUAUGGGACAUUCGAGUGUUUCCAUCCUACCUACUCCUCUCGAUUUACUAAUGCAAAACUUGAAAAUAAUAAUCAAACAUACCUGCUCCUCCGAAUCCCCAUCUACUAGCUUGUCAUCCCCAUCUGUUGUUACUGAUAGAGAUGUUGGUCGGGAGCUACAGCUGCCUGCUGCCCUCGGUGCCGCCGAUUCUGUGGUAAAACCGGUUGAUGUCGGUGCAGCCUGCACGGCCGACUUUGAGGGGAGGCAGACAGCAACCAACGUGCAGGGGAGGCGAGCAGCAACCAACGUACAGGGAAGCGGGGGCGCGCAAUAGCAGGCGUCCGCGCGAGGCGGUGUGUACUUGGCGACCUGGGAGUCCGGCAGCAACCGUGUCCAGGGGUACGAAGGCGCGUAGUAGCCGGCAUCCACGCGUGGAUUCUUCCACGGGCGAGACGAGGAAGCUGUGGUGUGAGCGAGCGGAGGAGGAACCGGAAGCGAGCAGGAGCUCCGCGAGCUUGGGUGAGGAUGACACCGUGGUGUGUGAUUUGGGGAAAGUGAGAGUCACUCACGAAGGAGAAAAGGAAUAGGCACAGUUAGUAGUGG